CCACUUUUUGUUUGCUGAUUGUGUGCAAGUGUGCAGUCAGUUUUGCUGACGUUCAUACAUGAGAGAUUCUGAAACAUGGGAGUAAUUUGAUGCAUACGCUUUGCUUGCUACAGUAAAUUACAGCCUUUCCUUGCCCAGGAGCUGAGCUAUAGUUUUUCUUCUGUUUCACAGUGUGAUACGUUGCCUUAAUUGCACCAUCUAUUGUGACAUUUUUGAUGCUUUUCAUUUUUGUCUUUCAUUGUGGGUGCUCCAACACGAGUAAAUGACACUACAGCAUUCAGAAAGCUUGUCAGGCUGUGUUCAGGUCAGCACUUCGUCAGUGACUGCUGUGAAAAAUAGUCAAUGAACAUCAAAGUUAUAGGACCUUGAAAAGGCAGUCAGGAGGAGCAGCCUGGAAAUCUGCAGAACAGAAGCACCUAAAGAGUUGCUUUGGUUUCCAGCAAAGGGCUUUGAACUCUGCUGGCCCUUCUCCAGAGCUGUGAUGUUGCCUGCACCGAUGCCUGCAGACUGGGGGGCUGGUAAAAUGCUCUGUACAGAGCGUACAGCUUCUAUCAGUGAAAGGCGGAACCUGACAGUGGACCCACCACAGGGAUGAAUGUCAUCUUUACAGAGGAAGAAAAAUAACAGGAAGAAUUACAUCGUGCGGCAGUUUUUCAUUGCGGUGAAUUUAAGGUGGCUGUCAGGCAGACACCGAGCCAAGCUGAUGGCUUUCUGCUUGCAGAGGGAACAGCUCACAGGUAGCCUUACAGAUUCAGCAGGACAUAGUGCUGGAGACUGUGGGUCCAGCCUCAGCUCAGGGAAAGAUGUUUCCUAUAUCCCAUCUGACUCUGCCAAGCAUUUGGUUACUAACGUGGUCUGUGAGAGCAUCUCCUUUCCUCAUUGCUGGCAAGAGCUUUUGUGUACUGGUUCCUGCUACUUCUGGAAGCAAGGUUACCCAGUAAAGCUGAUACCGUUCUGCCAGUUCUCUCAUAGCUGCAAGAUUGUCUACCAUGCUUUGAACUCAGGAAAUCUUGUUUUUGAAACAUGCAACUCAGCAGUCAUGGAAGAGAGAAAGCUGUGGAAGAGGAAUAGAGGAGGGCUGCCCACCUCCUCCUUCAGAUGGGAAAGUCCUCACAGUUGUUUUCCCGCCAACCACGUCUGAACAUUGGAAUCUGCCCCAAGUUUCUGCGUGAGUUGCUAUUUUAUAUACUGGGAGUCGUCAUCCCGGGAGGCAUGAACAAGAAUCUGGUGACAGGAGCAUCAUGAAGUUCAAGACUUCAAAUGUGAAGUCCUGCACCCUGUAAAUAGUGACACCAUGCAACAGUACAAACUGGGGACAGGCUGACUAGAAACUAGCUUUACAUAAGAGGACCUAGAGGUCCUGAUGGACAUCGAGCUGAAUGUGAGUCAAGAAUGUGCCACUGCGUGAAUGAGAGCCAAGCACAAAAGACACUGGGCUGCAUUAGUAACAGCAGAGGCAGUGGGUUGAGAUAGCCAGCAGAGGUGAAUAUUGCACCCCUCUGAGGAGAAGAAAAUCCCCCAGGCAAGCAGAGAGCAAGAUUGACAUUUCUCAUUAUUUCUGUACUCCAGGUAAUAUAUAUAAACUUUUUUUUUUUCCCUGGGAGCCCUUCAAACCAAGCAAAUGAAGACAUUUCUUCUGUACAGUCAACGACACUCCAAAAGGUCUGAUCUGCUCUCUGAAAUUUCCCCUGAUUUUGCUGUGGCCCUCAGGCUGUAACUCACUGAUCUCAGGCACACAACGUGGCUAUCCCAAAAUCUCAAGUUUUGCUUUGACCAAGUAUUUACCAUAACGAAUAGAAACUAUUCCUUGAACAACAACGUCUUUUACCACUUGCAAAUCUCCAUCUAAUCUGACUGUCCUUAUCUAUAAGCGGAGAGAAUGAAAAGCAGAGAUAUAAAACCCAAAGGUUAAGUACAUAUUUUUUGCAACUGUUUAAUGUUCAGCAUUCUCAUGCUGUGAAGAACAUGCAAAGUUUCUGCAUUCUUUCUAUUGGGUGCAUUCGUUACCAAAGCAGACUUGCUAUCGGUUUGGGAUGUAAACUGACCUGGUGUCACUGCAAUUUGCCUGUUUUCAUGUGUGUGCUUGGUUUGCUUUUGGCAUACAGGCACUUACGGCUGAUCCAAAGUCAUUCAAAAGCUCAGCAGAUGCUUCUGUGAAUCUCUUCUAUGUUUAGAAAUGGAAAUGAAGCACGAAACCAGGUGCUUUCUGUGCUGUCCUGAAUUAUGGAUUUUAUCCUUCAUGUUAUAACACAGUUUACUUGUCUUCUGGUUUAUCGUUUUUGAAGAAGGUAUGAGGUAAAAUACCAAGAUCUCCCUGACAAAGUCUUGUAGGACUCCAGGAACUGCUGUCUUCUGUACGGGUCCUCUCCAAUUCAACAGCACCCUUUCAGCUGACAUCAAAAGGGGUGAGUGAGGGCUGUGUGGAGUACAAGGAGCCAACACUGCUCAUAAGACAGAAAUUCGCCACUGAUUUUGUGAAAUUCUCUGUACUGGAUUAUGCAGGAGAUCAGAAAAGAAGAUUUUCGGAGUCUCUUCCUCUAACUCUUGCAACUUACUCUUGGGAACUGGUAUUAUCAGGCGAGUAUGGACUGGAUGAUCUCCAGAGGUCCCUUCCAACCACUGCGAUUCUGUGAUUCUGAUUCUAAUCUCACAGAGAAUAUGGGACUAAUAUUUCUAAGUUUAAGAAUCAGAGGGUUUUUUUCAAACCAUUUUAGGAGGAGGCAAGAAACACUUUGGUUUAGCUUUCUGGUCUGAAAAUAUCAAUAGUUUGUUGCAUUUUUGAAAAGAGCCACAGGAAUCAUAGAUCAAAGAACCAUAGAAUGGCUUGAGUUGGAAGAGACCACAAAGCCCACGCAGCCCCAACCCUCUGCCAUGGGCAGGGCUGCCCCCCACCAGCUCAAGCUGCCCAGGACCCCAUCCAACCUGGCCCUGAGUGCCUCCAGGGAUGGGGCACCCACAGCUUCUCUGGGCAGCUGUGCCAGGGCCUCACCGCCCUCUGAGUAAAGAUUUUCUGCCUAACAUCUAACCCAAAUCUCCCCACUUUUAGUUUAAAGCCAUUUUCCCUUGUCCUAUCGCUAUUAGACUGUGUGAGAUGUUGGUUCUCCUCCUGUUUAUAAACUCCUCUCAAGUACUGGAAGGCCACAGAGAGGUGUCCCCGGAGCCUUCUCUUCUCCAGGCUGAACAAGCCCAGCUCCCUCAGCCUUUCUUCACAGGAGAGGUGCUCCAGCCCUCUGAGCAUCUUCGUGGCCCUCAUCUAGACAUUCUCCAACAGCUCCACAUCUUUCUUGUGCUGGAGGCCCCAGGUCUGAAUGCAGUACUGGGCCUCAUGAAGGCAGAGCAGAGGGGAAUAAUCACCUUCCUCUCCCUGCUGGCCACCCCUCUGUUGAUGCUGACCAGGAUACUGUUGGCCUUCUGGGCUGCAAGAGCACACUGGUGGCUCAUGUCAAGCCUAUUAUCUAUCAGAGACCGUGGGUCCUCCUCCGCGGGGCUGCCCUCAAUGAGUUCUUCUCCCAGACUGUACACGUAUCAGGAAUUACCCUGACCUGAGUGCAACACCUUGGUCAAGCCAUUGCUCUCAUGGCUACGGGUUUGUUGUUUGGACACAAUAAUGUACAGAUGGGCUUUGCAUUUAUCAAGAAUAAUCACCAGCUGAGAUGCUGAGUGGAGGAAAACUAUUAUCGUCGUGACUGACCAGAGUCUGGCAGCAUUCUUUGUUGUUUGUGGCUUAUUCUUGAAAUUAGAUUUCAGAGACUAAACUGACCUCUCUGUAAGCUGAGCUCAGAAGAUGAAGGCCAAUAAUGGGAGAAGGAGCACAUCUCAAGGCAAAAGGUUUAACCGUCUGCCUCUUGGUAACCUGCAGGAAAUCCACCAAACAUCAUUUCAUUUGCAGUGAUUAAAGGUGAACAAUAUAGCUCUGUGUAGGAUUUCUUGCAUUUGAGACACGUUUCAUUAAUUAUUACCUCUUCAUUUAUAUUUUCUACUCUAGAAUAAGUCUUGCUGUGGGAAGCGGGGUGUAGGAAACACGAGGUGGUGCUUUUCAGCGACAAACCUUCAACUAUGGCAUUGUUUUUCAUACUUGCAAUAUUCAGCCACAGUAUCCACAAGGGAGGUACCACAAUUGCAAAAUGCUAUUUAAAAUAAUGGCGUGUUUUAGAAGAGCUUCCAAUGUCUCUCAUAAUAUUUGCAGAUAAUCUCAGUUUGCCAAUCUGUCAAGUAAUUAUUCUCCAUCUGUGAUAUCCAGUGAUAACCAGUUAGACUUUCAAAUUCAUUUUUACCAACAUUGGUGAGCUCAUCACUCGCCUGUUGAAAGAACAGAACACAAACAUUAAAAAAGUGCAAAGGCAAUGUAUUUAUUAUUGUAGCAUGCAGUCAAACCUGCAUAAUAACUACUAAUUAAAGUGUUAAGGCCUUAAUUUUAGAAAGACAGAGAGGCUUUCUGCUUUUGUACAGUACCAUACACACAUCAUUUUUAUGCUUUGCUUUCUGUGAUUAGUGACCAAGGCCUGGCAUGAGACAAUUUUACUUAAUCAGCUGUAUGCAUUAAAUACCAGCAGCUGCAAUUAGACAUUCUUUUGUAUCACAUACUACGCUUCACGCUGCUAUUUGCUCCUGACCUUGGCAGGCACUUCUGCUGUGUUUGGAGAGGAGCACAGUGAAAUUCAGAAUUCUUUUUUUCACAGCCUGGAUGUUGGCAGAUGUGCACACACAUUCUUGCCCCACAGACCAAACAGAGCAACUUCAGAAGUGCAGCAGGAGUUCCUUUAAAACAGACUGGGAAGGAAAGGUGGGAAUGAACGAAACCUCUACCCCGUGCCUUAACACUUUUGAGUACGAUGUUGGUUUGCAAUGCUUACGUAUCACUUUGGACAUUACACAUUGGCACUGAGUACCUAAAACAAGAGACUUGAGCUUUCCAUUUGCUUUGCACAUCUGUUUUGUCGGGUCCUGUGCUCGUAGCAUCAUUUUUUCCCAGCUGCAGUAUCACAACUGGACACUAGAGAGCUCCUUUUACCAAAGACAUCUCUCCAACGUGAGGGCAGAGCCCUGUGAGAUAUUUGCUUGAGGGAAGAAAGUGAAUAUUGGUAGGAUCUUUUCAUGCAGCGUGGAGAAAUGGUAGCAGCAGCGUCACCUCCUCACAAAGGAAGCCCAACAAAUCCAUGUUAACCU
RNAcentral lists this long non-coding RNA (5166 nucleotides) under Gallus gallus (chicken). Its description in RNAcentral is "lncRNA (ENSGALG00010015868.1)". Lineage: Eukaryota; Metazoa; Chordata; Aves; Galliformes; Phasianidae. The record is from RNAcentral.